This 406-nucleotide ribosomal RNA is filed under the name uncultured bacterium. RNAcentral's name for it is "partial 16S ribosomal RNA". It matches the Rfam family "Bacterial small subunit ribosomal RNA", at positions 29 to 526 of the family's 1533-position model. The record is from RNAcentral.
AUUGAACGCUGGCGGCAGGCCUAACACAUGCAAGUCGAGCGAGCGGCGCACGGGUGAGUAAUGUCUGGGAAACUGCCUGAUCGAGGGGGGUAACUACUGGAAACGCUAGCUAAUACCCCAUACCAUCAGAUGUGCCCAGAUGGGAUUAGCUAGUAGGUGGGGUACCGGCGCACCUAGGCGACGAUCCCUAGCUGGUCUGAGAGGAUGACCAGCCACACUGAAACGGAGACAGUGUCCAGGGUCCUACGGGAGGCAGCAGUGGGGAAGAUUGCACAAUGGGCGCAGGCCUGAUGCAGCCAUGCCGCGUGUAGGAAGAAGGCCUUCGGGUUGAAAAGCACUUUCAGCGGGGAGGCGUUACCCGCAGAAGAAGCACCGGCUAACUCCGUGCGAGCAGCCGCGGUAAUUC